Anas platyrhynchos (mallard) is the source of this 8367-nucleotide non-coding RNA. The record is from RefSeq and is a predicted model, not a curated record. NCBI's taxonomy places the organism in Eukaryota, Metazoa, Chordata, Aves, Anseriformes, Anatidae.
UGAUUUGUGCUUUUUCAUUAUUUUUUUUCUUUCUUCUUUUUUCUUUUUUUUGUGGUGGUGGUGUUUGUUUUUUUCUUUCUUUUUUUCCCCACAAUUAUUUUCACUGGCCAGUAAACAAGGCAAGGGACACGCUCCGUUUCAGGGCUUCCUCACACAGCAGACAGGCAGAGUAAUUCUCUCCUGCUUUUAAACACAGCCAGUCCAGCUAAGAAACAGGAAGAAAGCUCUUUUGGUCGGCAGAGCCCUUCCCCAGCAAAUGUCUCCCCUGGAUCUGUUCUAUUAAGCCCUUGGGAGCUUGGAAACACUUUUCAGGUGUAAAAAUAGUGCCUGCAAAGUCAGCAGUCAAUCCCUGCUCUUGGACAGGUUGUAUGGCAGGGGAUUUUUUUGCUGUAUUUAAUCCCCCAGACCAGUUCCAAACUCUAUUCAAGGAAACAGGGACUCUCCCUGGCCAUCCCGGUGCAUGAAAUACCCAACAAUAUUCCACCUGAGCCAUGGCAGGGAGGAAACUGCAGAAAACAGAUUUCCUGGUAAAUUGAGCUCAGAUCCACAUUACAGAAACGAUCCCAAGCAGCAGCGAUGCUGAAAAACCCCCGGGACCCCAAAAAGCCUGCCACCCUGGGAGCCUGCCCUGGGGUAUCCCCAAGCCCCCUCUCAGCCCCUGUUCUCCCUGCAGACUCCCCAGUGACCCCAUCCUGACUGACUGCAGUGUUUUUGGGUUAAAGUCAGGAGGCUAUUCGCUGAGGCACAGGCUGGAGGGAGGUUUUGCUCAUCUGGAAAGCGCUCCCAGGUUUCCUAAGGGUCCUUUUUGUUCUCCAUCAGGUCACUGUAUGCAAGGAGGAGGCUGGUGGGCAAAGGGGUAUUUGCCAGGGGUGCCCAGGAGUCAUUACUGGUCUACUUGGGGUGGACAUAAUCAGCAAUUCCCAAAGAGGACCCUCUGUCCCAGCACUUCCACCCCAAACCCUGAGGUUUAGCAACACUCCUAAUAUCCCCUCCAGAACCUCUCGCACAAAAAGUUCCCACUUCAGUAAAUCAGCAUUCUCUGACAAAACAAAACAAAACAAAACAAAACAAAACAAAACAAGCUAUUUCUCCAGAAAAUUCUCAGUUGUCUCAACCGCUAAUAGCCCAUGCUAGUUGAAUGCCCCAGGGACUUAUCACUUUGUUAUGUUCCUGGCACCACUUUUCCAUGGAACUUGCAAAUUGUUGUUUGCCCAGCUCUGCCUCUAACAGAUCAGGAGAAAUUCUGGCUACUGCAGCAGAGGAAAAUAGCAGAGUGUGUCCACUUUUGCUACUUCAGAGUUGUUCAACCAGAAAAUAAUGAAGAGAGAAUUGUUUUUCCUUGGCUACGCAGUGUAAGUUAUUGGUGAAUAAAUAAGCCCAGAGGCCAGGGGAUGAAGUAUUUAUUGAUUUGUGCAGUGUUUAUUUCUGAGUUAAUUUGCAACCCACAUAAAGAGAGAAAGAAAUCGCUGUGAUAAAUAUAAAAUAUGCUUUAUAUUGUGCAUAUUAUGAAAAGAGCUUCAAUAAAAAGAUUAUUACAUCUUUCUAUGGGGUGUUCACUGGGUUUGCCUGUUUUCAGAUCUGACAGUAUAAUGUGAUCAAAUCUUAGCAGUCGCAAGGCAGCCCCACACAGUUUUUAUACUUUGCUUUAAAGCACAGAGAUGCCAUUCUGCAAAGCUGAAAUUUAGUGGGAGAAGGAGAUGCAGGAGACAUAAAAGGAGAUGAAGGAGAUGUAAAAAAUGCACUAUCUCAACUCCUUCGGAGAUGAAAUAAUAGUCCCUUCUAGCUAUGUAUAGGUGUCUGGAUGGGAUUCCUCUAUGUACAGCAAGCUCACAUUGCCAUCUCCUCAAAUUUUCAGCGACUCAGAGAUGACAAGGCUUAAUACAGGAGACGGCUAUGCUCUGACAACUCCAUCUGACUGCACUGUCUGCCACGGGUCCCCAGCUAAUUAACUAUUGAUCUAAACUUUUGAGAUUUUAUUAGAAUCUUCUGGAUGUCACAUUAUUGCUAAUAAGGCUUUAACAUACAGCGGAGAGAGAAGAUGAAAUGUCCAAAAUGAUAAUUUCUCAAGAAGCAUUACCCCGUUCGCAAGGCAGCCUGUGGGUGUGUACGUGCUAGCUCCGUGCGUGCUUGCAGAGAGCACUGGCUGGUUCAGCUGCUUCGCAGGAGCCCCAGGACACUGCAGGCCCUGGCUCCUGGUGUUAAAGUCUUUGGACCCGAUGUUACAAGACCUUUUAUCUGCCUGUAAACUAGCCAGCAGCUUGCUAAACGGAUCCCGUGAGUACAAGCAUUGCACGGCAGCAGGGCGCAGGAGGGAGGAGCACCAGGCUGGGUUUCCUGCAGCACACGCAGAGGUUCAGCAGAAGAUCUCAGCAGGCAUCUCCCAUCUGAGGCUGCAUGUGCCAGAGGCUGUUCUUCUUUGGCACAGAGCAGCAACAUGAAGGAGGAAGAGAGGAACCAAACCUCUGAUCGCCGAGGGGACCACGCUGGCUCCAGCACAAGGCACUCUGAGCAGUUCCUUUGGCCUGUUUCCCACUCUGAACUCCCAGCUGGUUUAAAAGAAGGAACAUGCUGUAUGUGGUAGACGCUGGAGUUGUCUUCAUUAUCUGCAAGGAGCAUCCCCAUGGCCAUGCUCAUGCCCAGCCUUGCUGCUCUGGCUGGAGAGGUCCUUGUCCAGCAGCAGAGGCACUGUGGAGAUGGCAGGGACAUGGCACACAUGGCACCACUCCUCAGGAUACUCAGCAAACCUCGCUUUAAAAGUGGAGUGAGCGCAACUUACAGGAUAAAGGUACUAGUGGUGGGGAAAUUCAGCAGUAUUUUCCUGGAGGUGAACACUGACGUGAUUGCCUGGCUGGUGUCACAUCCAGAGCUGCCUCUCCACCUUCUCAGAGCCUUCCUUUGGCUGGUGAGAUGGGUUUCAGGAGCUGACAUAUAUACACGAGGAAUGAACCUCUCCAGCCUGUGCUCAUUUUCCUGUUUAAAUCAGCGUGUUUUACCAUAGCAACUACCAAAGAAGGAUUCAGCAAUGUUUGAGCAAACAAACACCUAUUAAAGAUCCCUUCUGAAAUAUUUAUGCUUUGUUCCCCAAAGCCCACUAAGUGCAUUGAUGGAGCAGCUCAGCACGGUGCUGCGUGGAACCAGGAGUGUCAGGAGAGCCUUUUCUCAGCUGCCUGGCAAAGUGGAAAAAACAUUUUUCAGCAGACUGUUUAUCAGCUCCGGAGUUUAACCAGAUCCACACAGCAUGAUUGAGGGACUGAGAGAAGGAACCCACUCCAUCAGAGGCCAGGACAUCCUCAUCCUUCCUUCGCAAUGAGGGUAGAAGCUGCAGACAGCCUUGAAGACUGGCUGCAAAUUCCAAAAUGUCCGGUUUUCAAACAUCUUUGAAGAAUUCACCCCAAAGUCUAAUGAAACACUUUUUGCCAAAAUUUGUCAUUUUUGUACUGAAGUUUAUAAUGAACUGAAAGAGAUGAGAAAUGCAAGAGGAGUUUGUGGGAUGGGAACUGGAAGGUGUUCAGGAAAGGGAACGCAGCUUACACAGUAUAAUAGGAAAAUCAAACCUAAGGAGAUGGAGGAUGUCAUGACAUAAACACUUGCUUCAACAGUGAAGGCAGACACUUGUCCACCUCUCUCUUUGCAGCCUCUUCAGUGCUGCAGAGGUAACCAGAGGCUGUUCUAACAGCCCUGAAAGCUGUUCAGGAGCAUCCUCCUUCAAACAGGACCAAGGAAUUGAGGUGGAGACCAUGGAGGGAAGGCGAGACUUUUUAAACAGAUUUUAUUGCUGUGCAACAGCAAUCUGAGAAGGCAAUUUGUAUCUCUCACCACUCACCAUUCAGCAUCCAGAACCUGCAGAAUGGCCUCGUGGCCUCUUGUUGUCCAGAAAAGCCAAACACCGAGGGCUGUAUGGGUACAUGCUCUCCUGGUGUGUGUUUUCCUCCCUCAGGAAGCAAAUCAGAUGGCCUGUUCCUGAAAACACUCUCCCCAAAAACCUCAGCGCUGCAGGCAUGUGCUGACAUUUGACAUGUCCCUUGUUUGUCGUUUGUGCCAAGUAUCACUUCCUCGGCGAAGACAGAACUGCUCGAAGGAGGGCCAUAAACCAGAAUGAAACAACUCUGCCGAAGAAAAGUUGUUUAUAAUUGUGUAUUCCCAGAGUUGUCAGCCAGCUCUUAUGAGUAAAUGUUGUUUUACAACUGAAAAAAUUGUGUGAGCCUGCAGCUAUUACUGUUGUUGCCUGGGGUGAGUUUUCUGCAUAAAUCAAGUUAGCAAGAAAAUUGUGUACCAUUACACUGACGGGAAGGUUUAAAACACUUGAGGUAUUUAAACUGAACUGUGGGCCUUGUCAAAACCACCAGAAACUACAACAAGCAUGGAGUUGUACCAGCUCCCCUCCACUGAGGCUCUUCCAUUUGCAGCUUCUGGGAUCACCGCAUGUUUGAAGAGAACGGCCAGUGUGAGAAGAGACGUGCACAUUUGUAUUUUAUCUCAUUUGGUAGUUGAUGGAUCUGUGGGGAGUUGGGUACUGAGGAAAUAGUGCCUGUUUUCCCAAAUAUUUUCAUUUGAAAAGGAGCAACGUAGUUACACUGCUAAGAAGCGUAUGCCAGAGCACUGCAGGAAAAGGGGCCGCCGAAAGCAUCGUGCAUUGCUCCUAGACGCAGAAGGAGGGACUGGGAACAACUGAUGGAGCAAACAUCUUGGAGGGCGUCAGCUUCGCCGGUGGGACCUGCGUCAGUCCAGGCGUGCAGACUAGAUAGAUACAGAGAAGACGACUGUUCUGCCUGUGCAAAGACAACAUACACAUGGUCAAAGUAUUUCAAACAUCCUCCAGCGCAGGAAGCAAGGGAAUAAAAAGCAAUGCAAGCAGAGGAAUUAAAAUCAGGCAAUACUUUGAUAUACAUUUAAACUGGUAUUGUCAUCAAAGUCCUGGCAUCUUUCAACCCAGAUUGGCUCUCUUGCAUGCAUCCCAGAUCUGCUUUGCAGGCACAAACACCUGUGUGCCCAUGGGAUGGAUCCCAGAGAGGUGUUCCCAGGAGAGGCUCACAGUAGGUAUUUCAGGCGGGCUGCUUGCCUCCCCGCCGUGCUGGGUCACCUGCACCUGCUCAUGGCUCCACUGUGGAGCAGAGCGGGUGCCACGGUGGCCCUGGUGGGUGUCCUGGGUCUGGGGUGGCAGCGGCAGCUUUUUGCUGCCACCUUAAACACAGAGCCAAGAUAAAGAGCUUGUUUUGCUCUUAAGGCACAUCUCCCCUCCACAGCUCAUUUGCUGUGCCUAGGUACACAAAGAGAAUAUGUAUUUUUAACAGGAUGCCACGGGAUAUGACAGCUAACUCUGGCCACAUUAACGUAGGUACAUAGCUUCUUGGACAAGCACAUCUCCUUGGAAUAUAUUAUCUAAUCUGCAUUCAGGAUUACAACAUGCUGUGAAGACAAAGACAACACUGAAGGAAAACCAGGAAGGAUUCCUGUAAGAUUUAUUUCAGUGUAGUAGAGGUCUCAGUCCUUUCAAUCCCCACUGCCAAAAAAUAGCAGCAAAAGGUUUGGCAUCUGACCUCCUAAAACUGCUUGAAAUUUAUCAUUUUUCAGCCCUAAGAGCUCUAAUAUUUAAUUGUGAGUUGUGUCUUUACAGAACAGGAGAUGAGUCGAGCAGAAAUGAAAUGUGCUGCACCAGGCACCUGCCUGAGCCGCAGGGUCCAGCAUCACCCACAGCGAGGAGCCUCCAAGCUCUGGCUCCAGCACAGCAGAGAUUUUUGAGUCAAGCUUCGGGAAGGAAAGGCCAAUCGCUGGACCAGUUCAGCCACCUGGGGCCUGUACAAAAGCCCGGUGACAAGGACAUGCCACUGCCAGGGGAGACCUUCGAGAGCCGGAGAACCACACUGCGGCAGCCGUGGGCUCAACCUGCUCUCGGAUAAUAGAGCACAUUUUUUGCAGUUUGUUCAGGGCAGUAAAGCCCCCUGAAGGGCUAUUCAGUGACUGACAUCAAUGAGUGCAGGGGAUAAAUAAUAGCAAACUGCCACUUUGUUUUCUGGUGUUGGAAGGAGAUGAAGAGGGAGCGUUAUGUGACCGUUUAACCUAAAUGAUGCGAAGCCGGCUGUGCUCGCCUGCAGAGCCCUGUUUGUUUAUCCAGCGAUGCUAUGCACAAGUAUUUGGCAGGCUUUUCUCAAACUAUUCCAAGAAGUUUUUCCUUAAACAAGAGAGCCCCGCUGUCCUUUGCAAUGUUCUCUAAUGCAAGCAUUCAUAGGGUUUCUCCAAUGAAAGUUAUUACAAACCACCCAGACUCCCAGCAUGGAGAAAUAACGAGGAAGAGGCACUGUCAUAUUUCAUGUAUUUUUAAUUGCAUUGCAUUUGCUGGUGCUGCCUUCUCCCAUGAACUCAGGCACGAUGACCAAGGAGAGGUAAGUGCCACCAGGAGCCCUGAUGGCAGCAGGGGACAGCCCCCGGCAGCACGCACCCACACCACACGUGGGUCACAUCACACAACGCAGGGGCCAGGAGGUGGCCAAGGGGCAGCCCAUAUGCACACAUAUGCACUCCCUUAACCUCUACAAUGACAGCUUCCUGAAACGUCUAGGGAUCACACCCACACAUCCAGAAGGUUGUAUAUUUUGUCCAUUGACAAAGAUGUGAGUGAAACCAGUCCACACACCCAAAUGAAUCCACACAGGCCAUUACUAAAGGACAGAAAUACCCCAUGAAAGGUGAAGGAACACUUCUCACAGGCCAUUUAUUCUCCUACUGAUUUUCCACAGAACACUGAAAAUUGCUUCAGCAGACAAGGGUGGGAACUAUUUUAACAGUCCCUGGUAUUAAAAACCAGGGACUCAGCAGAGGUUUUUAUGGCACACUACAGCUAUUGCCACCCCUCAUCGCCAGCUCCAUCCUCUUCAGACAUUAGCACCUUACUUCUAAGCAGGAAGCCAAUAUUUCCCUCUUCCCUGUGCCCCACCAGCCCUUUCUCUUCUCCUGACCUGUUGGUUAAGUUAAACUCAGAGCCACUUGACCUCAGCCUGCAUAUAGCAUGAAGUUUGCUCUUUCUCUUCCAGACUUGACACUUCCAGACACUGUGCACCCAAGUGUUCAUCGGCCUUUCUUUUCCCAUUAUAUCAAUGUAAUACAAGUUACCAUUUUUCCUCUGUCAGCUCCAUCUCCCUCAUACCCUUGAUCAUCAACGUUACCUGCAAAGACUUUAUUAUUCAUGCCUUGAUUUUUUAGUAUCAUCAAGUUCCAGCGUUUCUUUCCUAAAUAUUAUAUAGCACAAUUUAUGCCAUCAGUGGACAAGGCUGAUUCUUUGCUAGGGGACUGCCAGCUGUGUGCUCAUACUGUCCAUAAGGCAGGCUAUGCAAGUUCUGGCUCAAUGUCAGCUUAAUGCCAUGAUGUGAUUCCCAAACUGGAGCUGUUUUACCUCUGGUCCCUAGACCAGCCAGCAGAAGAUGCCCUUACACAGGGCAGCUGAUUCCAAAUCUAAACUGAAAUGUUCUUAAUUUGCUCAUCACAUUAAGUCACUUUGUAUGUGCCCCAGACUGAGGUGACAAAGGGGACAGUUUGGUAGGCAGAAUUUUUAACUUUCCUUAGUUAAGAACUGCAGCUAAAAGAUUUUAUUUUAUUUUUUUCCUAGCAAUAAUGAGGAUAAGAUUAGAGAGUUCCCAAGGCACAAAAUGAAAUUUAGCACCAGAAAGCCCCAGGAGAAUAAAUGGGUGAUUGCAAGCAGCCAACCUGAAUUAUGCUCUAAGACAACAUAAUUUCUGAAGCAUUAGCAGGAGCUAAUUCUGGACCUUCUCCAGGUGAAGACAGACUUUCGCAGGAGGUAGGCAAUCCCUUGGCCCAUAGGCAAGGGGAAAGGUGAAGUCCUGAGUUGAUGGGCAUGGUUUGUAAUCACACAUUUCAACUUAUUUUUCUGGAUCUCAUGAUCUGAAAUGUCAUUUCCAUUUCAUGGUACACAGCAGUUGGCAUUGGCUAUAGUCUGGCUCACCCUAGUGGUCUGAAGUUUAAUGAGAUGUAUGUAAUGCUCUUUAAUAGCUUUGGGUGAUUUAAGUAUUAAGGAAAAGUCAUCCGAUCACUUGUGAGCAGUUAAAUUAAAAGCAAACUGGAUUUUGCUAACUAUGGUGUGUUUCUAGGUGAUAAAUGCUUUUUAACAAAUCUCAUAAAAUGUCCUCUCUGCUGCCCUGAAUGUAAUUUGGAUUUUUAUGGUAUUUUUUUUAUAGUUCCUCAAAUAAUUUCAUCAGCAUAAAGACUCCUCCUGGAUGGAAAUUUAAUAAAAAGCUGAAUUGUUGUGAAAGGUAUGAGCAUGACCUACUCUUGCCCACUCUUAUUCCCAGACCUUGUAAAUGUAUUCCUAACAGUCUGAAAGUUAAUAAUUAAUAAAUGCAAGAAAUUACUUGGAAA